This 419-nucleotide ribosomal RNA is filed under the name bacterium. RNAcentral's name for it is "partial 16S ribosomal RNA". It matches the Rfam family "Bacterial small subunit ribosomal RNA", at positions 355 to 776 of the family's 1533-position model. The record is from RNAcentral.
UGGGGGAUAUUGCACAAUGGGCGCAAGCCUGAUGCAGCGACGCCGCGUGGGGGAUGAAGGCCUUCGGGUUGUAAACUUCUUUUGCUCUGAACAAGGCGCACUUUGGGGUGUGUUGAGUGUAGGGGUUGAUUAGCGCCGGCUAACUACGUGCCAGCAGCCGCGGUAAUACGUAGGGCGCGAGCGUUGUCCGGAAUUAUUGGGCGUAAAGGGCUUGUAGGUGGCUGGUUGCGUCUGUCGUGAAAGCUCAUGGCUUAACUGUGGGUUUGCGGUGGGUACGGGCUGGAUUGAGUGCAGUAGGGGAGGCUGGAAUUCCUGGUGUAGCGGUGGAAUGCGCAGAUAUCAGGAGGAAUACCGGUGGCGAAGGCGGGUCUCUGGGCUGUUACUGACACUGAGGAGCGAAAGCAUGGGGAGCGAACAGG